CUCCGGCUCUAUGUGAUUGUGG
RNAcentral lists this non-coding RNA (22 nucleotides) under Arabidopsis thaliana (thale cress). Lineage: Eukaryota; Viridiplantae; Streptophyta; Magnoliopsida; Brassicales; Brassicaceae. The record is from RNAcentral.